UACCAGCUCUCCGAGUGGUAGGGAUGAUUAUUGGGCUUAAAGCGUCCGUAGCCGGCUUAGCAAGUCUCCUGUUAAAUUCAGCGACCUAAUCGUUGAGCCGCGGGAGAUACUACUAGGCUAGGCGGCGGGAGAGGUCAACGGUACUUCCGGGGUAGGGGUGAAAUCCUAUAAUCCCGGGAGGACCACCAGUGGCGAAGGCUGUCGACCAGAACGCGCUCGACGGUGAGGGACGAAAGCUGGGGGAGCGAACCGGAUUAGAUACCCGGGUAGUCCCAGCUGUAAACGAUGCGGGCUAGGUGUUGGGGUGGCUACGUGCCACUUCAGUGCCGCAGGGAAGCCAUUAAGCCCGCCGCCUGGGGAGUGCGGCCGCAAGGCUGAAACUUAAAGGAAUUGGCGGGGGAGCACCACAAGGCGUGAAGCUUGCGGUUC
This 429-nucleotide ribosomal RNA is filed under the name uncultured archaeon. Its description in RNAcentral is "bacterial SSU rRNA". It matches the Rfam family "Archaeal small subunit ribosomal RNA", at positions 474 to 903 of the family's 1478-position model. The record is from RNAcentral.